AUUGAUACCACACUUAUGAUAAUAAUUCCAGUCAUUAUUAACGUCAUUUGUUAUGCUGGUAUAAUAAUUACAAUCCGAAGACGGGAAACAUGUGGAUUUAUUCCGGCAAACAGAAGCGAUACAGUUUCUACAGAUGAAAUAAUUCCUAAGGAUAGAGUGAUUUCAAAUGCAAAAAUCAAGACGAUAAAGCUACUAUUAGUUGUAGUAUGUGUGUAUAUAUUAUGUUGGACGCCAAUAUAUGUGGGUGCAUAUUUACAGUUUUACGCCAAUAUAAAAGCUGGAUUGAUAUAUAAUGUGUUGUAUACAUUUGCACCAUUGAACAGUUUUGCCAAUCCAUUAGUGUUUUUGAUAUUUAAUUUCAAAAUGUUUCGAUCAAAUAAGAA
Mytilus trossulus (common blue mussel) is the source of this 383-nucleotide long non-coding RNA. RefSeq lists it as uncharacterized. Lineage: Eukaryota; Metazoa; Mollusca; Bivalvia; Mytilida; Mytilidae. The transcript is spliced from 3 exons. The record is from RefSeq and is a predicted model, not a curated record.